RNAcentral lists this long non-coding RNA (2137 nucleotides) under Mus musculus (house mouse). RNAcentral describes it as "long non-coding RNA chr3:37505184-37507321". Lineage: Eukaryota; Metazoa; Chordata; Mammalia; Rodentia; Muridae. The record is from RNAcentral.
GUUUUUAAAUAUCUUUCUGGCUUUGGCCCAUUUUCUAAUUAAAUUGUUCUUCUACUGUUGUUUUGAGAGUUCAUCAUGUAUUUUAAAUGUACACCCUUUUUUUUUUUUUAAUAUUUGUUUGUAACUAAUUCCAGUGGAAAUUUCAGGGGACCGGAUUCCCUCUUCUAGUGUCCAAGGGUGCUUACUGCCCACAUGUGGUACACAGACAGGCCUUUAGGUAAAACACUCAUACACACUAUUAAAAUAGUUAAAAAAUAAUUUUUAAAGAAAGAAAAUUAAUUUUUUUUUCUUUGUCAUUGCCCAUUGAGGUAAAUACCAUGCCUAAUUAUGCCAGUAUCCUCUUGCUCUGUGGUUUAACUUGUAUAUGUGUUUCUUCGGUUUUAUUCAAAAUAAUAAUUUUUCAUAAUAUGAUAUACAGUAGUACAUUAAGUACUUUAGUGGUGUGUAUUAGAUACUCUUGGUUCAGUUUCCACACUAAUUUGGUAGUGCCAAGUCACCCUAGCAGUACUAUAGCAAAUGUAAAUUGUGAUGGUGACGGUGUACUCUUUAUAGACCAUGAUGCUUGUAUAGGGGUGGUAUUGAAAUCAUCUAAAAGACAUUGACUCACUAGAAUGCCACUGUCAUAUUUUUAUGAGCACCUUUGAGUUAGUAUAAAAUAGUUUCUAACUAUAAAAGAGCAUUUGCUUGGUUGACAGACAAGAGGACUUUCAGAAUACCUAAACCAUGCAUGACCCAACCUUUCUAGUUCUAUUGAGAAUGUAACUUGAGCUCUUUCUCCAUAUGUCCUUUUGUUUAAGGUGUUAUGUUAAAUUUGAGGAAUGUAAGUAUAAAUUGUUUGCUGACAGCUGGAAAGUGAUAAUAGACAUGGAUUCUCUGGGAUACUGGUUUUAAGUUUAGGUGACAUUCUCUCCUGAGGAUAACAUGUAUCUGUCUGUUGUAUUCUUGUUCACUUACUGAAUGAGGUGUUAGUAUAACUGACAAAACAGAAUGUUAAGUCCUGAAGUUAAGCGAUUUAAAUAUGAAUUUAUUCUCAUGAAAUUUUCAAUGAGAAAAUAGAAGCCAAUAACAUUUAAUUUUAUAAAAGUUCACAUAGUUCUGUGUUGUUCUUGAAGUGUCCUGUCCUGGGUGAUAGCUAUCAGAAAACUUGAAAUACAACAAAGGAAACUUGCUGCAAUGUCUCAAAACAGAGCCAGUAUCAUGUAUUGUGUAUUAGUGUCCUGCAUGCCCCUCUCCCCUACAGAAGGUUUUACUCUCUGUCUUUCAGUGCCAUUGUAUGACAUCAAGUAAGCAAACUCUUACUCUCUGGUCUAACUUAAGUCUUUUUUCUCUUAUGUAUAGUCAUUUACCCUAGUGAUGUUGUUUUUGCCCAUUCUUUUAAAAUAUUUUUGUAUUUGUUGGUGAUAAUGAAGAUGGUGAUGAUGAAGGAGAAAUGUACUAAAAGUUUAUUAGGUCUUUCUUUUUUUACCAUCUGAUAUAUUUCAUGUACUGAAGAACUUGACUCAAAGGAAAGUCUAUUUGGUGAGCCAAGCAUGUCUUCCUGCUGGAGGCUUAGGUAAUAAAAGAAAUGAGUCUUUAAACAUGUGUUAGUAGGGAAAUGGAGUAAUAAGGGAAGGAAAUUGUGAAUUAUGAGGAUUCAUACCUGAGAGAGUUCUGUUAAAAAUUAGCUUCUAUUUCAUUUCUGCAUCAAAUGCUCUAGAUUUAAAAAUAAAUGAAAAGAACCACAUUAUUUUGUUUAGUGUCAAGUCACAUUUUUGGUGUUUCUUGGUGUUUACUCACACUACAUAUAUUUGUGUUUCUACAUACAAACAAUGAAUAAUUUGGGAAUAAAAUUCAGAAAAUAAGGAUUUCCAGAAGUAAUACUAAAGUUAUUCUUAGAAUUUUGUUUGUAUCUUGUUUUGUUGUUGAGACAUGAUAACAUGUAGCCCAGCUUGGCCUCAAAGAAAGCUACUACUUAGGAAGCUGAGGCAGGAGGAUCACAAAUUCAGGCUCAGCCUCACUGAGAACUGGUCUGAAAGUUAUUAAAAGGCAAAAAGAGGCCUGAAGAUGUAUACAGGUAGUGGUUAGGCACUUUCCUAGUAUGUGUAGGCCCUAGGUUCAAUCCCAGUACUAUUAAAAAAAUAAAAGAAAUACCAUUUAU